AUGAAGGUGAUUGCGUGGAACUGCCGGGGAUUGGGGAAUGGGCUGGCAGUUCGUGGUCUUCUGGAGCUCCAGAAGAAGGAGGACCCCGACAUCCUAUUCUUGUCUGAGACUAGGCUCGAUGAGUGGAGCAUGGGUAAAUUUCAUGAUAUGUUAGGGCUUUAUCAUAUGAAGGUGCAGAAUAAUAAAGGCAAGAGUGGAGGUUUAGCUUUGUUUUGGAGGCGUGGAAUAAAUGUGUCUGUUAGAUGGUCUGGACGUAUGCAUAUUGAUGCGAUUGUGGAGGAGAAAGAUGGCUUUAAAUGGCGUUUGACGGGUAUCUACGGUGAAUCUCAUGCGGACAGGAAGGUGGAGACGUGGCGCCUUCUCCGUACUCUUCAUCAUCAGAUUCAGCUCCCUUGGGUAUGCCUGGGCGAUUUUAAUGAGAUUUUGUUUAGUCAUGAGAACAAGGUGGUGUUCCCAGAUCUCAUAGGUGUAUGCAAAAUUUUCGUGAUGCUCUUGAUUAUUGUAAUUUGCAUGACCUUGGUUUUGAGGGUGACGUUUUUACUUGGAGAAAUAAAAAUUAUAGAGUUGAUGGUUAUAUCCAUGAGAGGUUGGACCGUGUGGUGGCUACGCCCGAUUGGUGUACCCGUUUUCUGGCAUAUAAAAUUGUGA
Molecule: ribosomal RNA, 648 nt
Filed under: Triticum aestivum (bread wheat)
Lineage: Eukaryota; Viridiplantae; Streptophyta; Magnoliopsida; Poales; Poaceae
Description: partial small subunit ribosomal RNA
Source: RNAcentral